UAAAAAGCUUCAAACUGGGAUUAGAUACCCCACUAUGCUUAGCCCUAAACAUCGAUCAUAUUUCACAUCCACAAUCCGCCUGGGAACUACGAGCAUUAGCUUAAAACCCAAAGGACUUGGCGGUGCUUAAAAUCCACCUAGAGGAGCCUGUUCUAGAACCGAUAACCCCCGUUCAACCUCACCCUCCCUUGUUUUUCUCCGCCUAUAUACCGCCGUCGUCAGCCUACCCUGUGAAAGUAUUAUAGUAAGCAAAGCUAGUAUAAACCCAAAACGUCAGGUCGAGGUGUAGCGCAUGAGAGGGGAAGAAAUGGGCUACAUUCAUUAACAUAAUGAACUACGGAUGGCAUACUGAAACAUAAUGCCAGAAGGAGGAUUUAGCAGUAAGUAAAAAAUAGAGUGUUUACUGAAAC
RNAcentral lists this ribosomal RNA (410 nucleotides) under Aenigmachanna gollum. Its description in RNAcentral is "partial 12S small subunit ribosomal RNA". It matches the Rfam family "Bacterial small subunit ribosomal RNA", at positions 753 to 1368 of the family's 1533-position model. The record is from RNAcentral. Lineage: Eukaryota; Metazoa; Chordata; Actinopteri; Anabantiformes; Aenigmachannidae.